AUCAGUUAGAUAUUCAACUUAUUGAAUUAGUUAAUUGUAAUUAUAGCUGACAAAUACUGUUGAAUAAUUGAAUCUGAAAGUAUAAAGAACAUUUUAAUGAAAACAAAUAUUAAAUAUAAUUAGAACUAAAGAAGUCAAAUGUCUCAAUUAUUAUUGUUUAACCCAAUCAUCCAUAUUCCAUGUCUUGUUGACAACUCUUCCUCAAACCAAAAUCCAGCUGGUCCUUCUUUCUUUGUUGUAUGAGUGAAUGUAAUCUUAAUAUAUUAAUCACCAAUUUAUUCUUUGUACUAUUUUUAGUUAAAUUUUGAUUUCAAAUUUGCGAAAUAAUUAUGAAAAUUUGAGUAUUUUUAAUUAUAUGUGUUAUUUAUAAUUUAUUUCUCUUUCUUUUCCAUUAUUAUGAUUUUUAUUUGGGAAAAUAUCUUUAAUUAAAAUUGGAUGCCAAGUGGGUCCCAGUUACAAGAGGAGACCAAACUUUGAUUGCUUUAUUCCUGGGAAACACUCA
Molecule: long non-coding RNA, 502 nt
Filed under: Brassica napus (rape)
Lineage: Eukaryota; Viridiplantae; Streptophyta; Magnoliopsida; Brassicales; Brassicaceae
Description: long non-coding RNA (BNAP_LNC014627)
Source: RNAcentral